Molecule: non-coding RNA, 589 nt
Organism: Salmo salar (Atlantic salmon)
Lineage: Eukaryota; Metazoa; Chordata; Actinopteri; Salmoniformes; Salmonidae
Source: RefSeq, a predicted model, not a curated record
AUGACCAAUCAUAUCGAGUGGUUCCCGUGACGGGAUGGGACCCACGGCUGGAGACUUUCUCCAGCAAAGAUGGCUGACAGAAAUACUAGGACGGAAGCAAAUGGACUCCAGAAACAACCAGCAAACCAGGCGGUCGUCUUGUGAAACAGUGGAUGUAAAUAAUCUAUCUAGCUAAGACAUUUAAUGCAAAUUGAAUGUACAAUUUUGUAAGCUUGCCUUGCUGAUAUUUGCAAUGCAGAUGAAGUAACGUAGCUAGCUAUUUUCUUGCUUAUUGUGCAGUGGAAGAUACAAUACCUGUAUGCCUAUAGAUGUGUAGCCGAUCUGUAUAUGGACCCUAAAACGUUUGGUAUGAAUAUUAGUUCAGAACCUAGCUAUGAACCUCAGCUAUCAUAGCCAGUUGUAUCAACUUCAAAACUGUCUGAAUUACAUUAAUGAAGCCUAUGGAUUGAGUAGAAUAUAAUAUAACUUUGUGCCAAGGUUGCAAGUCGUAUAUACAUGUAGUUAUUGAGAUCCCACAUUGUAGCCUGUACAUUUAGUAUAUUCACUGAUCAUGUACUCUACCAUGGCAAAUAAAGGUCCAGUUCAGGUA